Long non-coding RNA from Sapajus apella (tufted capuchin), 187 nucleotides. RefSeq lists it as uncharacterized. The record is from RefSeq and is a predicted model, not a curated record. The transcript is spliced from 3 exons. NCBI's taxonomy places the organism in Eukaryota, Metazoa, Chordata, Mammalia, Primates, Cebidae.
CCAUUUUUUCUUUGUAUGUCUCUGGGCCUGUGAUGGGAGGGAGUGCCAUGAAGAACUCUGACAUGCCAUGGAGACAUUAUCCCCAUUGUCUUUGGGAUUAACAUUCAGGUCCUCGUCACUUAUGUAAAUUUCUGCAGCCAGCUUGAAUGUCUCCUCAGAAAAUAGGUUUUUCUUUUCUAUCACAUUG